GUGGUGGGGUGUAUGCUGUUCUGGCCUGGGGUUGGGAGCGGGCAGAAACUCACUCACCUAGUUCCAGGUCAGUCGGCGGCGGAAUCGUGACUGUAAGAUCUUGAAAGAGCCACCUCCUGAGGGAUGUUGCCUCCCACAGUGAGCUGGACCCUGUUACAUCAAUUAACAAUCGAGAAAAUCCCCACAGAUCAAUCUGAUCUAGGGAAUCCCUCAGUUUAGGCAGGCUGUGCCUCACUAAAGCUAUCUAGGACAGAGUCCAACAUAUGUAAAAUAGUAAUUGCCACAGUGUAUUAGUUACACCUCCUUCCCUUUGCCUUUAAAAGGGGAUAUGGCAUUUUCAAAAAUAACUGUUGGUGAGAUUUGAAGAAAUUCACACAUGUACAUUGUUGGAGGGAAUCUAGAAUGAUGCUGUGUGUGGAACAUAAUUCUGGCAGUGCCUCCAAAAGCUGAAUGUAGUAUUAUCAUAUGACCUAUAAGUUCUGUGCAGAUGUACUCCAUGAGCUUUGUUUAUAAAAAUUGCACAUGAUUAUACAUAAUUAUUCACAUUGUGCAUUUUUUUAAAUACAGGGUUUCUCUGUAGCUUUGGAGCCUGUCCUGGAACUCCCUCUGUAGACCAUGCUGGCCUCAAACUCACAGAGAUCCUCCAAUCUCUGUCUCCUGAGUGCUGGGAUUAAAGGUGUGUAUCACCACCUCCUGGCUCACAUUAUACAUCCUUAUUCCUAAUAGUAAAAAUUAUGGCUACAACCCAAAUGUUUAUCAACUGGUGAAUAGUUAGAUAAAAUAUGGUAUGUAUCGUAUACUGGAAUUUUCAACUGCAGAAAGGAUAUAAGGAGUGAUAAAUACCACAAAAGGAUAAACACAAAACACAUUGUACUAAGUGAAAAAAGGCAACCACAAAACUCUACUUACUGUAUGCACUCAGCUGUAUGAAAUGUUCAGAAUAGACAAAUCUAGAGACAGUAGACCUUUGGUUUCUUAGAAAUAGAUGAAUUGGAGUUUACAGAAGGUCAUAGCUAAAAGGCACAGGCAACUUCUAAGGGUGAUGGAGUUAUCCUUUAAUUACCUGGUGGUAAUGUCUGGACCACUUUAUGAAUAUAGCAACAACUACAUACUUGAACACUUUAAAGAGGUGAAAUUUACACUAUGAUUAUUAUAUUUUAAUUAAUUAAACUUUCUGGAAGAGACAAUACUUGUCUAAAUGAACAGUUUAACGGUUUGGAUAAGAAUGGCCCCCAAAGGCUCAUAGAUUUGAAUGUUUGAGAAUGGCAUUAAUUAUUUGAAAGGACUAGGAGGUGUGGCCUUCUUGGAAGAAGUGAGUCAUUGGGAGUGGGCUUUGAGGUUUAAAAAGCCCACAGCAGGCCCAGCAUGGCUCUAUUUUCCUGCUGUCUGCUGAUGCAGGUUUAGAACUCUCAACUACUUUUUUCCAGCACCACGUCUGCUUCUCACCCAACAGGCUCUUUGCCAUGAUGACAAUGGAUUAAACCUCUGAAUUGCAGACUAGCCCCCAGCUAAAUGCUUUCCUUUAAAAGAGUUGUCAUGGUCAUAGUGUCUCUUCACAGCAAUAGAGCACUGACAAAGAUAAACAGCAAGUUCAUAUUUUUAAUAGUACACACAGAAACUUUACAUUUACAAGGUGCUUAUCACAGUGACCUGUAUGCAGAGGGACUUUCAGUGGAGGGAGACCUGAGCAGGCGGGAGACCAGUGAGGAAAUGAGAUUUUUCAAAAACAUAAAAUUUAAUAUUUAAAGUGAUUUGUAGCUUUAAUACUUUAUAUUGAAAUGUAAGCCAUAUGAGUAUAUUAUUUUAUUAAAAAUAGGAAUAAAAGCCAUAUAUCUUGCAUUUGGGGAUUUUCUUAUGUGAUAAUGAAGGUUAAAUGCAGGGUUUCACACUUCUCUACCAAUGAGCUACACAUCUAGCCUCUCCAUCAUUUUUACUUUUUUUCUGAGUCAGAUUCUUGCUAAGUUCACUAGACUCUCAUCUGAACUUCUUCAGAGGCUGAGAUUAUAGAUGCGUCUCACCAUGCUCAUUAUGUUAGAAUUUUAUCCCAGUUAGCUUGGUCUCCUAGAUGUGAGAAAUUGAGUACACAUAUACUGUUUGUUUUGAGAAACUUGAUUAAUUAUUAGUUUCCUUUACUACUUACAAUGCUUAGUUUACAUCCUGGGGAACCCUUUCUCUUAAGGAUGCAGGGUUUUCUAAAACUGAUUUUUCUUCUUUAUUUAUUUGUUUUACCUAUAUUGAAUAGAAACAAGUUCAAAUAAUAAAUAUUUAUGUAUGUGUAUGUAUAUGUGUGUAUGCAUAUGUAGACAUGAUUAGUGAAGCAAAAUAGUUUCACAUAAUAUUCUUACACUCUUUUAAAUUCUCCAAAAAAGUAGGAGAUACACUUGUAUAUACACAAACAUACAUACACAGAUUAACUCAUAGUAAGUAUGAACAUUUUAACAUCUUAGGAUUCUCACUUUUAGAAAAAUACAGCAUGUUCCUAUUUGCAUGUAAUAUCAAGCAUGUUUUUUACCCAAAAAGCAAUUCUGUCUUGUCUGGGAGACAAAUGAGUCCAAAUCUUCAGCUUAGCAUUUUAUGUCUCUUACUGAAAACUUCUUGACAAGGUCAGAAACUCCUGGUUCUGAGUAUCUCAAACCUGUUUGUCUCCACAUUCAUCACAUGACAGAACUGAAUGAGUUCCAGUUUGGGCAUCUGGACUACUCAUGGAAAUUUUAUCUUGGAAGGCCAGCAAUUACCUACACACAGAAAGAUGAUAGGUGUCCACACUAAAAUAUCCCACUAAGUCCUAGCUAAAUGUGUAUCUAAGUCCACUGUCAUCUAAGCCAGAUCUUUGGGACACUUCUGGCCAUUCCAGUACCACCCAAAAAGAUGAAAAAGUGAAGAAGGAAUACAAUCACAGAAAGAAAAAGGAUUUAUCCAUGUGAAUUACUUCUGGAGCUUCUCUUGGCUUUGCAAGAGGCCUAUGCAAGCUAGGAGUCUAAAGCUCAAGGUUCCUUAUUUCCUGGCCAACUCUUCCCUGUUUAUUCCUUAUAAUUAGAAAUGUUAACAAAAACAUGGUAUGCAAUAGUUACUCUGUACUGCACAUAUUGGUAGUAUCUAAAUUUUAUAGUUUGAUGCAUUUGGUACUGAUGCAUAUAUGCAUCCUCUAUAUCUCUUAGAAAACAUGCUGAUCAGUGAGAUGACUCAGCAGGGAACAGCUUGCCAACAAGCCUAAUGACCUGAGUUCAAUCCUUGGGGCCCACAUAGUAGGAGAAAACCAACUUCCCCAAGUUGUCCUGAUUUCCAUAUGUGUGCUGAGGUGUGCACAUGCCUUCCACAAAAUAAAUGAGUGAAAAAAUAAUUCCAGCAUUCAGGAGGCAGAGGCAGAGAACUCUGUGAGUUCAAGGCCAGCCUGGUCUACAGAGUGAGUUCCAGAACAACUAGGACUAUUUCACAAAGAAACCCUUUCUUGAAAAACCAAAACAAACAAACAAACAAAAGAAGUGUAACUUUCGGGUGUCUGUGUCGUGUAUGUGUGUGUAUGUGCAGGUGGGCAAGUGUGUAUGUACAAGCAUACAAAGGUGAGAAGUCCAUAGGUAUCUCCCUUAAUAUUGCCCACCAAUUCAUCAAGACUAAUUGGCCAAGAGCUUAGGGAGGGUCCUGUUUCUGCCUCCACAGUACUGUUAUUACAGAUGCUCACCACCACAAUGGGAAUCCAGACUCGACCUCUCAUGCUUACACUGCAAGCACAUUACUGGCCGGGCCAUCUCAUCAACCCCCACAACAGGUGAUUCAUGACACCUAUAACCUGGAUAUGUUUUUUGGAAAGUUAAAUGUGUAUGAGAAAAUGUUUAACUAUGUAGUAGCCAACUUAUAAACAGUAUCUAUAGCAUCCUGUUACUCAUCAAACCUCCCCAUUAGAAGUGCUGAAUGUCAGGCUAGGAUACAGCACAGUUAGAGGGCUUUUGUAGCAUGUGCAAGGUCCUGGUGUGAUUCCCCCCGCAAAGCAAAACAAUACAAAACAUGAAAUAUGCUUUCUUGUGAAAUCUUUUUCGUAGUACAACAAUGAUAAAAGCUGUGUCUUUUAAAUUCCACUUGUUGAGUCAUGCCUUCACAAACAGUAUUUGAGGUAAAGCUGUGAGUCUCAACAUUAAAUAAUUCCACCACAUUUUCCUCCAUUUUAAUUUAUUUACUUUUAUUUUCUUUUUUGGUGCAUGUUCAUACUGUAUGUGUGUAUAUGUGGAUGAACGUGGAUGGAAUUGUGUGUGCAUGCACGCGAGGUCCAGAAGUCAGUGUGAAGAGUCUCCCACUAUUACCCUCACCUUAUCUUUUGAGAUGGUGUCUCUCACUGGUCACUGAUUGGCUACUAGGCAGGUCACUGAGCUCUAGGGAUCCAUCUGUCUCUUUCUAAAGGCUCACACCACCUCAGCCUUUAUGGAAGUGUCAGGCAUCUGAACUCCUGUCCUCAUGUUUACACAGUAGGCAUUUCACUGACUGAGACAUCUCACCAGCCCUUGAGUAUUUUUAGAAGAAAAUUUCCCAGUAAUGACUUUAGUAAAAACAAUAACAGGAGCAACAAAAUGACAACAAAAAGUCAAAAUCUUCCAAAUAGAACUAUUUUUCCUCAUUUAAAAAUAUUUCUGGUACUCACAAUUGCAUAGUUUAACAGCCAUGUGACUCUACCAUAAGGAAGACAUACUCUUGGUACUAAAAGAAGAUACCAAGAGGGGGGAUGAUUCUUCUGGAGGAAUUCAUUCCCUUUGUGGAUGAAAAUCGCUUUGAGAACAGGCAUACCAAUUUGUGUAGGUGUAUUUAAAACAGUAUUAUCGUAUCACUAUAACUUACUGGAGAAUAUGUGAGUUGGCAGUCAGUGUAUUCAAUAUUCUAAGUUUAGUAUUCUCAAUGUGAUUGGGUAGAUCAAAACAUAAAUUUGGGAUUCCAAGGAAUGAACUCUUGGGUAGCAAAAUUAGAUUAAUGGCCAUUUUUAAAUUGAUAAGCAUAAUAUAUCUGAUUUGCACAUCCUAACUGUAUGAUAAUGUUUACAUGUGACUCAUCCUAUUCCAUAUAAAUGAGUAAUGUUAUUUAUGCAAAUUACCAAGGACAUUGCCUAGCACAAAGGAAAUAUGUUAGCAUGUUAAUGCAACCACUUCCUUCCAGUUAAAUUUAAUAAAGACACUAGUUAGAAAUCAUUAUAUCCAAAGUUAUGCUGGACUGUCUAAGAAAAUAUAUCUGUUUAACUUAUUUAAGUAUAAAUGUAGGUCAUGAUUUUAAGAUCCAUUCUAACAAAUAUACAUUUAGGUUUCAGCCUAUGAGAAGCAAGAAGAAUACUAUCUAAAAGAUUAUGAAUUCUCUUUACUUUGAGGAGUUUAUAGCUUUUUGCCAUAAUUUGUGGGUAAAACUGUAAAGUAGGCCUAUGCUGUAACUAAAUUUGGAGGCAGUCAUACAGCGAGACCUGGAGUGUCCAGACAGAAUGUGGGCUGAACUCUUUCUGAGUGGACAGAGCAUCUGGGCAUCAGUGAUAGAAUCUUCCUUACAGGAGAAAUGUUUAAUUCAACUUGAGACUUUAGGAAAGUUGUCUAAGAUAAACAAGAGCUUGACAGGUCUUUCACUUCCCAGGAUCAGGAAAUUGAAUGAGAACCCAAGAUCUAAAGUCCCUGUGUCAGCUGGGACUUGGGUCUGAGAAGAGCUGGGACUGGUAAUAUGGGCUGGAUGAACCUUAUAUUCAGAGAACUAGGAAGGGACCUUCACCAGCAGCAUGUUUUGUGGAUAAAAUCAAAAGCUGUGGAUUCCUUCCAGACUAAUAUGGUUUGAUCAAGCAAGACCCCUGAAGCUGAGAUGAUACAGUCUUACAGACUAUGAAAACAAGGACUUGGUCGAAUUUCUGUGUUUUAUCAUGAUCCCUAUGGUAUGGACAUCACCCCCAAUCAGCAGGAAGCAGUUUGGAAUGAACUACGCCUAAAUUCCCAAAUAUUGUUUAUAAAUGUUUGUUUUCAUUUAAAUGGAGUUGGUUAUAAAUGAUAAUGAGCAUAGUCAAUCUCUUUUCUUAAAAAAGGGGGGAUAUAGGAUAUAGGAAUGAAUACUUUGCAUUGAUAUGGACUUUCAUUUAUUGAUGCAACUUUAAGAUCAAUUUUGUGAUAUGUAUAUGUCUCCUCUUGUUUAGAUAUUGUGUUUAUACAGAUCUUUUAAAAUGAUAUACAUAAUUAAAUACAGGUUAUAUAGUUAUCUAUAAUAGUCAGAACUUAUAAUUAGGUUAGUUAGGUUUUCUAGAUAUACAGAGAUGUAUUUGAGAUGGAUAGGUAUUCUUUAAUUAAAUCUUUCAAAGACCGACAGAAUAUAUGGCAUUUAAAUGGUUUAGGGUUUUUCUUGGCAGUGAGACACAACUGCUCCUGGCACACCAAUUACAUCAGAAAGGAGGAUGGGCAUCGAAGAAACUCGUUAUGGAGUUUGCUUUCAACAUGGCAAGAUUAGCCAUUUGGGCAAGAAACUACUCUUGCCUGGAUUGUUUGUUGCUGUAUAAACUGGACGUGCAGGACCCACAAGAAAGUGACUGCUGAACUUACAAAACAAGACAGUACUGAAGGGUCCUGUUGAAAUGCAGAAGUGUGCCAGACACACAGCAGAUGUGGUGCUGGAGCUCAGAGUCCUACAUCUUGACUCAGAGGCAACAGGAAGUCAGCUGGCUGUCACACUGUGGGAAACUUGAGCAAAAGAGUCCUUACAGCCCACCCUCACAGUGACACACUUCCUUUAAGAAGGCUACAACUCCCAAUAGUGCCACUCCCUUUGGGGGCCAUAUUCUUUCAAACCACCACACUUGGGUGCAGCUUCCCUGUCAUAUAUAGAAGACACAGCCUCACAGCAGACAUCCUGUCUCUCUGGCUUUUACGAUCUUCUUAAUGCUUACAGAAGGCAUGCAAAACCUUGCAUCUAUUCCAUCUCUAGAUGUAUCUCUGCUUCAGCCAAACCUCAUUACACACUGUUGCUUUCCAGUGUCUUAUCAGCCAUGUGUUUAAGUGCUUCACCCUGAUUAGAACACACUUCCUGUCAUGUAACAUGAAAAAUAAAAAGCCCCAGAGACUGAUAUUGGGGUUCAAACUUCAAGCUGAAGAUCAGAAAAGAAAAGCAGCCAAUCCUAGCUUUUACCUUUACCUCAGGCUGAAAAGGCUGAUCCUGCUGCCUCUCCUCAGAGUGACUGGAGAUUCCUGAGACUGAAUGUCCUCCUAUCCUCAAUGUGUCUGGAGGAUGAAUUCUCAAUACUGAGACCUUGCUCCUGUCUUAUAUACCUCUCAUGAGUUCCAGGAUUAAAGGUGUGAGCUCUAAUUCUCUUUUAAACUGAUUUACUCUAAUGUGUCCUUGGGCGGCCUUGAAUUUAGAGAGAUCCAUCUGCCUUUAACUCCUGAAUCCUGGGAUUAAAGGUGUGUACUACCACCUACUGACCUCUAUAGCUUGUGGCUGACUUUGCUUUCUGAAUCCUCAGGCAAGCUUUAAUAAAUCAUAAAUGAUACAUCACCACACUAUCCUCACCUCAGAUUCACCUGGGAAAAUGGCUUGGACUUUACCAAGACUUAACCCAACUGACACUUACUUCUUGUUUCACACCUUACCUCUUUGCCAUUGUGUCAAGGAGGUGUCUGGGUAGUCACUUCCCACUGAUAUACACAAUCUCUUCUUUUUGAGCACUGCAAUCAGUAGCAUUUCAACAUAGCUCCCACCAUAUCUUACCGCAUGGCUUUCCACUCCUGAAUCUCUCUCCCUCUGCUGUGGGCUCCUCAGGAGUGGAGGUCAAGUUAGUUGCAACAUGUCUCAAGUCACAGUUUGUCCAAUGCCCAUUAAAUGUAUAUUGAAUUAAAAGUUGGAAAAUCUAUGAGUGAACAGAUGUUUGUGAGGGGUGUAAGUGAAUGGACACUGAAAUCAGACUGGAUAGGUAUCUAUAAUUCUGUUCAAUUAAAUGUGAUAGUGCGCUGGGCAGUGGUGGCACACGCCUUUAAUCUGAGCACGUGGAAGGCAGAUCUCUGAGUUCAAGGCCAGACUGAUCUACAAAGCAAGUUUCAGGACAGCCAGGAUUACACAGAGAAAUCCUGUCUCAAACCACUCCCCUACAAAUGUGACAGUGUUAUGUAAACUUCAGAGACAACCUCACAGCAACUCUGGAGCUAAAAUUCAAACCCAGAUCUUCCAAACCAGCACUGUCUGUAAUAUUGCCUUCUAAAUUUAAAAUAUUGGAUCUAGGGUCACAGCUCAUUGGCAAAGCAUUCACCUAGUGCAUGCAAGACCUUAGGCUCAAUAUCUGUUACUACAAAUAUAAUAGGUAAGUAAGUAACAAUAAAGCUAAAAUGGCAAAUUUGAAAACAUUGCAUAACAGGUCAGUAAUAUAGUUUGUUCAGGUUAUUAAGCUGGGUCUUUUUAAAUAGAAGAGACAAGUAAUCCCUUCCUUCAAUACAUUUAACUGCUUUUUGCUUCCUUAUGUCCCCUACUUGUCCCAUAAUGAAAGGGUUCAUUAAAAUUUAGUCACAGUUAUCUUUGGUUGUGCUAAUAAAAUGUUAAUAUUCUUACCAUCCAAACUCAAGCUGGUACAAAAAAAAAAAACUUGCUUCAAAGCGAGUCUAUUUUAUAAAGAUUUCUUCCUCCACUUCCUCCCUGCUACUAUUUCAGCAGUAAUGAAAAUGUCAGGACAUUGGUCAGGUGUUGCCUCUCUCAUAUCCCUAGUUCUGUAGCUCACUCCAGGAACACCAUCCAUGGAUGCUGCCAUCACCUAAGCUACAAAGGGAAAGCAACCAUGUCCUCUUGCCAGUAAUGUUUGAGCACCAUGUGAGAUUUCACCCCCACAAGGUUCAACACAUACCAAGUAUGAUAAACAUGGCAGGUCUUCCUUGUGUGAGUUCAACUCAUCACAAAACAGGCCUUUGAAUUCUUCAGUGCAAUAAGAUCAGUUCAAUGCACAAGUCUUGUCUCAUAAAGCAAAUUGGAACUUCUUUACCAAAAAAAAAUGAUAUCUCUUCAUCCUUCCCACACCCCCCUCCAUUCCAAAGGCUUCCUGAUUGCUCCUCACUUUCCCCAGGUGUGUGCACUGAUAAGAUACUUUGCAAUGAUAUGUAGUGACUUGUCAUUUUCACAGACUUCAAAUUGAAAAAAAAGCCCUCUCCUAGGACUUCAGGUUGUCACCAAGGAAAUCAGGGAGUUGAUAUGGCCUCAGCACUGUCACUGUGUGUCUUGUCUGUGAAUGUGACUCAGAGAGAGAAGGAGAAAUAAAGCCCAUUCUGCCUCAGAACUGCGGAGAUUAGAAAGACUCCAUUCUUGAUAAUCUCUGGAGGAAGGAGAGUCCAGACUUGAUUACGUAGUUUUCCCAGAGCCCUCUAUUAAAAUCUAAUAUGUGUAGCAUUUAAUUUUUAAUCACAUAUAUGCAAUUAAAACAGCCAUCUAAGUUUUUGCAUGUGCUUCUAUAGACUAGAAAACCAUCAAUUCUGAGGUCAAGGGCAUCUGUGCUCCUUCAUACAGAAGGGAGUCUCCCGUAUGAGCAGCCAACAAAGGGAAACCACAAUAGAAAUCUAGAGAACAUAGAUGAGUUAAUAAUUAUUCCCAUUUUACAAGUUUUACAACAGCCACAAUACAACCAAGCCCCACAAAACUAAGUGUUUGGCCUUAACUCUCUUACAUUCUAAACUGUGGACCAAGGAUCUAAUUCAACUUCAUUUUUCCUUCCUAUUCCCUCCCUUUCCUUCCUCUCUCCUUCCCCUCCUCUCCCAUCCCCCCUUUCCUUCCAUCCCCUUUCCUCCUCUUAUCCUUUGUGCAUUCAAAGCAAGCGCCCCACCAAGUAGCCAUGUCUCAGACCCCGAACCCUCACUUAUAAUUAUAUCAACAUUUUGCCAUGAAAAUUCAUAAUAUACAAAUAUGAAUACCAUAAACUGGAGUGAGGUCCAUGAACUUAAAUUUGAACAAAGUAUUUCAUAGGUGCAGAUAGAAUAAAACAGCACAACAAACUCACAAACCUGUCAGCAUGAACUGAGGACAUUUUAUGUGGCAGAGAUGACUAUUAUACCAUUUCUCUUUUGGCAGAACUUAUAUUUACUUACAGUAAAUACUUUAAAGAUAGACUUUAAGGGCUAAAAAGACAAUAAUAUUUUAACUAAUGACUAGAC
This 10115-nucleotide long non-coding RNA is filed under the name Cricetulus griseus (Chinese hamster). Its description in RNAcentral is "lncRNA (ENSCGRG00015035025.1)". The record is from RNAcentral. Lineage: Eukaryota; Metazoa; Chordata; Mammalia; Rodentia; Cricetidae.